AACGCACAUUGCGCCUCCCGUAAAUGGGAGGCAUGCCUGUCUGAGCGUCAUUUAAAACCAUAACCCUUUGGGUUGUAUUGGGACUCACCCAUGGGUGUCUCCUCAAAGUCAUCGUGUCUAAAAGCGUACGAGUUCCAUUAGGACAGAACGUUUGAGGACCCUAAACUCUCUGACUUGACCUCAGAUCAGGUAGGACUACCGCCUGAACUUAA
Molecule: unclassified non-coding RNA, 212 nt
Filed under: Xenopolyscytalum sp.
Lineage: Eukaryota; Fungi; Ascomycota; Leotiomycetes; Helotiales; Hamatocanthoscyphaceae
Also listed under: 1 other name
Description: partial contains 5.8S ribosomal RNA, internal transcribed spacer 2, and large subunit ribosomal RNA
Source: RNAcentral